CUACGGGAGGCACCAGUGAGGAAUUUUGCGCAAUGGGGGAAACCCUGACGCAGCAACGCCGCGUGAGUGAUGAAGGCUUUCGAGUCGUAAAGCUCUGUCAAGUGGGAAGAACCUACCGAGUGCUAAUACCACUCAGUACUGACGGUACCACUGAAGGAAGCACCGGCUAACUCCGUGCCAGCAGCCGCGGUAAUACGGGGGGUGCAAGCGUUACUCGGAAUUAUUGGGCGUAAAGGGCGCGCAGGCGGCCUGGUAAGUCAGAUGUGAAAGCCCGGGGCUCAACCUCGGAAGUGCAUUUGAAACUACCUGGCUUGAGUAUGGGAGAGGGAAGUGGAAUUCCUGGUGUAGAGGUGAAAUUCGUAGAUAUCAGGAGGAACACCGGUGGCGAAGGCGACUUCCUGGACCAAUACUGACGCUGAGGCGCGAAGGCGUGGGUAGCAAACAGGAUUAGAUACCCCCGUAGUC
This 465-nucleotide ribosomal RNA is filed under the name uncultured bacterium. Its description in RNAcentral is "partial 16S ribosomal RNA". It matches the Rfam family "Bacterial small subunit ribosomal RNA", at positions 339 to 795 of the family's 1533-position model. The record is from RNAcentral.